GAUGAACGCUGGCGGCGUGCCUAAUACAUGCAAGUCGAGCGAACAGAUGAGGAGCUUGCUCCUCUGACGUUAGCGGCGGACGGGUGAGUAACACGUGGAUAACCUACCUAUAAGACUGGGAUAACUUCGGGAAACCGGAGCUAAUACCGGAUAAUAUAUUGAACCGCAUGGUUCAAUAGUGAAAGACGGUUUUGCUGUCACUUAUAGAUGGAUCCGCGCCGCAUUAGCUAGUUGGUAAGGUAACGGCUUACCAAGGCGACGAUACGUAGCCGACCUGAGAGGGUGAUCGGCCACACUGGAACUGAGACACGGUCCAGACUCCUACGGGAGGCAGCAGUAGGGAAUCUUCCGCAAUGGGCGAAAGCCUGACGGAGCAACGCCGCGUGAGUGAUGAAGGUCUUCGGAUCGUAAAACUCUGUUAUUAGGGAAGAACAAAUGUGUAAGUAACUAUGCACGUCUUGACGGUACCUAAUCAGAAAGCCACGGCUAACUACGUG
RNAcentral lists this ribosomal RNA (497 nucleotides) under uncultured bacterium. RNAcentral describes it as "partial 16S ribosomal RNA". It matches the Rfam family "Bacterial small subunit ribosomal RNA", at positions 28 to 507 of the family's 1533-position model. The record is from RNAcentral.